ACUCCUACGGGAGGCAGCAGUAGGGAAUCUUCCACAAUGGGCGCAAGCCUGAUGGAGCAACACCGCGUGAGUGAAGAAGGGUUUCGGCUCGUAAAGCUCUGUUGUUAAAGAAGAACACGUAUGAGAGUAACUGUUCAUACGUUGACGGUAUUUAACCAGAAAGUCACGGCUAACUACGUGCCAGCAGCCGCGGUAAUACGUAGGUGGCAAGCGUUAUCCGGAUUUAUUGGGCGUAAAGAGAGUGCAGGCGGUUUUCUAAGUCUGAUGUGAAAGCCUUCGGCUUAACCGGAGAAGUGCAUCGGAAACUGGAUAACUUGAGUGCAGAAGAGGGUAGUGGAACUCCAUGUGUAGCGGUGGAAUGCGUAGAUAUAUGGAAGAACACCAGUGGCGAGGCGGCUACCUGGUCUGCAACUGACGCUGAGACUCGAAAGCAUGGGUAGCGAACAGGAUUAGAUACCCCUGGUAGGAUAGCG
RNAcentral lists this ribosomal RNA (473 nucleotides) under uncultured bacterium. RNAcentral's name for it is "bacterial SSU rRNA". It matches the Rfam family "Bacterial small subunit ribosomal RNA", at positions 335 to 801 of the family's 1533-position model. The record is from RNAcentral.